CCUACGGGUGGCAGCAGUCGAGAAUCAUUCACAAUGGGGGAAACCCUGAUGGUGCGACGCCGCGUGGGGGAAUGAAGGUCUUCGGAUGGUAAACCCCUGACAUGUGGGAGCAAAUUAAAAAGAUAGUACCACAAUAGGAAGAGACGGCUAACUCUGUGCCAGCAGCCGCGGUAAUACAGAGGUCUCAAGCGUUGUUCGGAAUCACUGGGCGUAAAGGGUGCGUAGGCUGUUUAGUAGGUCGUGUGUGAAAGGCGCGGGCUCAACCCGCGGACGGCACAUGAUACUGCGAGCCUAGAGUAUUGGAGGGGGAAGCGGAAUUCUAGGUGUAGCAGUGAAAUGCGUAGAUAUCGGGAGGAACACUCGUGGCGAAGGCGGGUUCCUGGACAUUAACUGACGCUGAGGCACGAAGGCCAGGGGAGCGAAAAGGAUUAGAUACCCCAGUAGUC
RNAcentral lists this ribosomal RNA (446 nucleotides) under uncultured bacterium. Its description in RNAcentral is "partial 16S ribosomal RNA". It matches the Rfam family "Bacterial small subunit ribosomal RNA", at positions 338 to 795 of the family's 1533-position model. The record is from RNAcentral.